UACGAAGGGGGCUAGCGUUGUUCGGAAUUACUGGGCGUAAAGGGCGCGUAGGCGGCGUGUCAAGUCAGGCGUGAAAGGCCUGGGCUCAACCCGGGAAUUGCGCUUGAGACUGGGCUGGCUUGAGUGCGGGAGAGGAUGGUGGAAUUCCCAGUGUAGAGGUGAAAUUCGUAGAUAUUGGGGAAGAACACCGGUGGCGAAGGCGGCCAUCUGGACCGCAACUGACGCUGAGGCGCGAAACGUGGGGAGCAAACAGG
This 254-nucleotide ribosomal RNA is filed under the name uncultured bacterium. Its description in RNAcentral is "partial 16S ribosomal RNA". It matches the Rfam family "Bacterial small subunit ribosomal RNA", at positions 524 to 776 of the family's 1533-position model. The record is from RNAcentral.